AAACUUUCAACAACGGAUCUCUUGGUUCUGGCAUCGAUGAAGAACGCAGCGAAAUGCGAUAAGUAAUGCGAAUUGCAGAUACCGUGAGUCAUCGAAUCUUUGAACGCACAUUGCGCCCUUUGGUAUUCCGAAGGGCAUGCCUGUCCGAGCGUCAUUA
Molecule: ribosomal RNA, 157 nt
Filed under: Pyrenula subelliptica
Lineage: Eukaryota; Fungi; Ascomycota; Eurotiomycetes; Pyrenulales; Pyrenulaceae
Description: 5.8S ribosomal RNA
Rfam family: 5.8S ribosomal RNA
About the family: 5.8S ribosomal RNA (5.8S rRNA) is a component of the large subunit of the eukaryotic ribosome.
Source: RNAcentral